This 61-nucleotide ribosomal RNA is filed under the name Nephroselmis pyriformis. RNAcentral's name for it is "partial 5.8S ribosomal RNA". Lineage: Eukaryota; Viridiplantae; Chlorophyta; Nephroselmidophyceae; Nephroselmidales; Nephroselmidaceae. The record is from RNAcentral.
CGAAUCUUUGAACGCAUAUUGCCCCCGAGGCCUCGGCCGAGGGCAUGUCUGCCUGAGCGUC